CACGACAGAUCAAAGCGAACCCUAGAACUGCUGGGCCACAGAAGUGGCCUACGACAUUGAGGGUGUUUCAUUUUAAUUCAAAACAUGAAUUAGUUCAAUUUGGCAACUUGCACAUUCAUUCUGCGACUCUGUAACUGACAUGCUGCUCUGCAAUGAACAGUGGUGACUUACUGUUUGUUUCAAAGGCAUGUUUUUGCUUCUUUGGGAGACGUGCUUGGUUUGUUUUGUUCAAUUUUUAAUGAUACAUGAUUUUAUUUUAAAUUUCUUUGCAAAGUGCUUUGUAUCCUAGGGUUUCCAGCUUUCUCUGAAUUGAGAGGAGGUUAUUACCUUCUAAGUUUUCAAUUAGGAAAACAAAACAAGUUUGGAAGCUC
Molecule: long non-coding RNA, 371 nt
Filed under: Bos taurus (domestic cattle)
Lineage: Eukaryota; Metazoa; Chordata; Mammalia; Artiodactyla; Bovidae
Description: long non-coding RNA NONBTAT026925
Source: RNAcentral